This 325-nucleotide ribosomal RNA is filed under the name uncultured bacterium. RNAcentral's name for it is "bacterial SSU rRNA". It matches the Rfam family "Bacterial small subunit ribosomal RNA", at positions 18 to 344 of the family's 1533-position model. The record is from RNAcentral.
CAUGGCUCAGAUUGAACGCUAGCGGCAGGCCUAACACAUGCAAGUCGAGGGAGAGGUUAUCUUCGGGUAACCAAAACCGGCGCACGGGUGCGUAACGCGUAUACAAUCUGCCUUUCACAUAGGGAUAGCCCGAAGACAUUUGGAUUAAUACCUAAUGGUAUAUAAGAGCGGCAUCGCUUUUAUAUUAAAGCUACGGUGUUGAACGAUGAGUAUGCGUUCUAUUAGCUAGUUGGAGAGGUAACGGCUCCCCAAGGCUACGAUAGAUAGGGGUUCUGAGAGGGAGAUCCCCCACACUGGUACUGAGAUACGGACCAGACUCCUACGG